Molecule: ribosomal RNA, 1407 nt
Filed under: Metapterodectes sp. n. AD556
Lineage: Eukaryota; Metazoa; Arthropoda; Arachnida; Sarcoptiformes; Proctophyllodidae
Description: eukaryotic LSU rRNA
Rfam family: Eukaryotic large subunit ribosomal RNA
Source: RNAcentral
GAUUCCCUGAGUAACGGCGAGCGAAAGGGGAACUGUCCAGCGCCAAGUCUUGACAUCCAUGGUGUUCAAGAGAUGCGGCGUUAAUGUCUCGCUGCAUUGAGCAUCGUUCCUGGUUUCAAGUUCCCACGACCGGGACUUCCAGAGCGGGUGUUAGGCCCAUAGAGAUCAGGAACCGGUGCAUGCUGGUGAGAUAUAUUAGAGUCAGGUUGCUUGAGAGUGCAGCUUAAAGUCGGUGGUAAACUCCAUCCAAGACUAAAUAUUACAGCGAGACCGAUAGCAAACAAGUACCGUGAGGGAAAGUUGAAAAGCACUUUGAAGAGAGAGUUCAAAAGUACGUGAAACCACUGGGAGGCAAACAGAUGGAACCACGAAGUGUGCGCCUCGGUCGAUUCAAUCACCCGUYYGCGCUAUUGUGGUUGGUUGCGGGAGCUCUUCGGAGUUUGCACCAANCGCAAUCCGGUGCUGGCGGGUGGUGCAUUUCGUACCGAGGCUGCUAAGCCACGUUCAACCAGCCGGCUGGGACGGCCGUAAGACAGGACCGGAGAAAGGUAACCGUCGGAUGCUUGCAUCCGAUGGCGUUAUAGUCUCUGGUCGGCACCGUCGCCUAGCAUACUGGUUGAUGUAAAUUCUCCGCAAGGAGUKURAAGCCGCAGCUGCCUACGGUCGGUAGUCGGUAUUGCGGAGCGUUCUUUGCGUAUCUUUCGAUGCGAAAAGGCGUUCCAAAAAUGCCGGCUACYGGCUGUUUGCACGUUGCGGUGGAACUGUGGCCGUAGUAGGUCGGUCUCCAUCUGACCCGUCUUGAAACACGGACCAAGGAGCCUAUCAUAUACGCGAGUCGCUCGGUCUUGAAUAGGCCCGGGAGGCACAAUGAAAGUAAAGUUACGAGGCUUUCGAGCCGCAGUAACGGCUCGCCUACUUCGUUUUUUCGGCGAUAUGGCGAAGCUGGAGCGUAUACGAUGGUACCCGAAAGAUGGUGAACUAUGCCUGGGCAAGACGAAGCCAGAGGAAACUCUGGUGGAGGUCUGUAGCGAUUCUGACGUGCAAAUCGAUCGUCAGACCUGGGUAUAGGGGCGAAAGACUAAUCGAACCAUCUAGUAGCUGGUUCCCUCCGAAGUUUCCCUCAGGAUAGCAGGCGCUUAUWWCUGACACAGUCUCAUCCGGUAAAGCUAAUGAUUAGAGGUCUUGGGGUUGAAACGACCUCAACCUAUUCUCAAACUUUAAAUGGGUGAGAUGGUUGACUUGCUUGAUUGAAGCCAACCAUUUGGAUGCAAGUGCCUAGUGGGCCAUUUUUGGUAAGCAGAACUGGCGCUGUGGGAUGAACCAAACGUCGAGAUAAGGCAUCAAAUGCAUACGCUCAUCAGACCCCAUGAAAGGUGUUGGUUGCUAUAGACAGCAGGACGGUGGCCA